AUUGAACGCUGGCGGCAGGCCUAACACAUGCAAGUCGAACGAGUGGCGGACGGGUGUGUAAUGUCUGGGAAACUGCACGAUGGAGGGGGAUAACUAUUGGAAACGGUAGCUAAUACCCCAUACCAUCGGAUGUGCCCACAUGGGAUUAGCUCGUAGGUGAGGUAACGGCUCACCAAGGCGACGAUCCGUCACUGGUCUGAGAGGAUGAUCAGUCACACUGGAACUGAGACACGUUCCAGACUCCUACGGGAGGCAGCAGUGGGGAAUAUUGGACAAUGGGCGAAAGCCUGAUCCAGCCAUGCCGCGUGUGUGAAGAAGGUCUUCGGAUUGUAAAGCACUUUAAGUUGGGAGGCGUUACCAGCAGAAUAAGCACCGGCUAACUUCGUGCCAGCAGCCGCGGUAAUUC
This 406-nucleotide ribosomal RNA is filed under the name uncultured bacterium. RNAcentral describes it as "partial 16S ribosomal RNA". It matches the Rfam family "Bacterial small subunit ribosomal RNA", at positions 30 to 526 of the family's 1533-position model. The record is from RNAcentral.